RNAcentral lists this ribosomal RNA (388 nucleotides) under uncultured Tulasnellaceae. RNAcentral describes it as "eukaryotic LSU rRNA". Lineage: Eukaryota; Fungi; Basidiomycota; Agaricomycetes; Cantharellales; Tulasnellaceae. The record is from RNAcentral.
CGCACCUUGCACCCUCUGGUAUUCCGGAGGGUAUGCCCGGUUGAGUAUUAUGAUCAACUCAAGCCUCCGGUUUCUAAUCGCAAAGGUCUUACGUUCGACGAACCCGUCCAUUGGGACGGUGGUAGUUGACGCUUGACUUGGAAACUCGGAUUGGCAUUGGACUUGAGCGCAUGUCGGUUGUGUUAACGAUCGACUCGCUUGAAAUGUAUUAGCUGGCGACCCGCCUUACGGUUCCACUCGACGUAGUAAGACUUAUUCGUUGAGGACACCUCUCUUGAUUGAAAGGUGGCCGACAGGUGUCUGGUAUUGAAGCCGCUUCUAAUCGUCUUAGGACAAUUUCCAUUGAACGAUUGAUCUCAACUCGGGUAGGACUACCCGCUGAACUUAA